GUCUCAGUUCGGAUUGGAGUCUGCAACCCGACUCCAUGAAGCUGGAUUCGCUAGUAAUCGCGCAUCAGCCACGGCGCGGUGAAUACGUUCCCGGGCCUUGUACACACCGCCCGUCAAGCCAUGGAAGCCGGGAGUGCCUGAAGUGCGUGACCGCAAGGAGCGUCCUAAGGCAAUACCGGUGACUGGGGCUAAGUCGUAACAAGGUAAC
This 208-nucleotide ribosomal RNA is filed under the name uncultured bacterium. RNAcentral describes it as "partial 16S ribosomal RNA". It matches the Rfam family "Bacterial small subunit ribosomal RNA", at positions 1285 to 1500 of the family's 1533-position model. The record is from RNAcentral.